GAUGAACGCUGGCGGCGUGCCUAAUACAUGCAAGUCGAGCGAACGGACGAGAAGCUUGCUUUUCUGAUGUCAGCGGCGGACGGGUGAGUAACACGUGGAUAACCUACCUAUAAGACUGGGAUAACUUCGGGAAACCGGAGCUAAUACCGGAUAAUAUUUUGAACCGCAUGGUUCAAAAGUGAAAGACGGUCUUGCUGUCACUUAUAGAUGGAUCCGCGCUGCAUUAGCUAGUUGGUAAGGUAACGGCUUACCAAGGCAACGAUGCAUAGCCGACCUGAGAGGGUGAUCGGCCACACUGGAACUGAGACACGGUCCAGACUCCUACGGGAGGUAGCAGUAGGGAAUCUUCCGCAAAGGGCGAAAGCCUGACGGAGCAACGCCGCGUGAGUGAUGAAGGUCUUCGGAUCGUAAAACUCUGUUAUUAGGGAAGAACAUAUGUGUAAGUAACUGUGCACAUCUUGACGGUACCUAAUCAGAAAGCCACGGCUAACUACGUG
This 497-nucleotide ribosomal RNA is filed under the name uncultured bacterium. RNAcentral describes it as "partial 16S ribosomal RNA". It matches the Rfam family "Bacterial small subunit ribosomal RNA", at positions 28 to 507 of the family's 1533-position model. The record is from RNAcentral.